CUGCCUGGCGCACUCCCCCUCCUCCUGAUCCAUGGCUGGCGGCUCACACGCUCCACUCUCAACUGUGCCUCCUCAAGGAGAAGUCCUCCCUGAUGACUCGGUCUGAAGCGGCUGCACACCCCUCCCUCCACCAUGCUGCUCUGUCAUCAAUCUCUAUUUUCCUCAGCACACCUCCCAUGAGCUGUGUUCAUCUAAGACUUUAAACUCCAUCGGGCGGUACCUUGCAAGCACUCUUCAUAGUCUAUAUCGCCAGUUGGCGGGUGCACGGUAUUCGCUCUGACGAGUGAAUGAACGAACGAACGAACGAACAAAUGAUACUACCCACGACUCCCUGUGGGAUCUGGUCCUCGUAGGCGGAUCUUCCCUCGGAGGCUGCAGUGCUAACCCAGGCCUGGUGAAUGGCAUGGGGAACAGACACGUAAGAAGUAUCAUUCAAUGAAUGAGCUGUCUUGUCUUCAGGGCCUCAGUUUCCACACUUGUAAAAGGAGGCGUUGGAAGAAAUCAAUGCUUUUCAACCCCUGUGACUGGAAACCCUCUGGAAGGGGCUCCCACCUGCUCCUUUCCCGCUGUGGGUUUCAAAUCGGCAAAUGAGCACACUCAAGACGAGGGAACGGAGUUUUCGUGAAGCCGGGUGUCCUCCUGGAAAUGAAGUCUGGGACCCUCCACCCUGGUGCUCUGAUGAUUGCCACAAACAAUGAGGCAUUUUCCACCACACAAAGAAGAAUUGAACCGCCCGAGGACUCUGCUUUUGCUUUUGUCUGUUUCCUAUUUGGGGCUUCCUUUGAAAAAGUGGUCUUGCUGCCUUAUAAAGUUUGAUGAUCUCUGAA
This is a long non-coding RNA of Felis catus (domestic cat), 827 nucleotides long. RefSeq lists it as uncharacterized. The record is from RefSeq and is a predicted model, not a curated record. The transcript has 3 exons. NCBI's taxonomy places the organism in Eukaryota, Metazoa, Chordata, Mammalia, Carnivora, Felidae.